AACUCUUAAUGAUAGAUCGCUCAGCUCGUGUCAAUGAAGAAUGCAGCUAGGUGUGAGAAUUAACGUGAAUUGCAGAACACAUUGGUCAUCAAGACUUCGAACGCACUUGCAGCCCCGGGUUCCUCCCAGGGCUAUGCCUGUCUGAGCGUCG
This is a non-coding RNA of Alligator sinensis (Chinese alligator), 151 nucleotides long. Lineage: Eukaryota; Metazoa; Chordata; Crocodylia; Alligatoridae. The record is from Rfam.